GACGAACGUUGGCGGCGUGCUUAAUACAUGCAAGUCAACUGAAGCAGUGGUAGCAAUCUCGCUGUGGAGGUGGCGCACGGGUGAGUAACACGUAGGUAAUCUGCCUUCAGGUCUGGCAUAACUCCGGGAAACCGGGGCUAAUAGCAGAUGAUGCAGCGGCUCGACAUCGAGACAGUUGUUAAAGCUAUGGCGCCUGAAGAUGAGCCUGCGUCUGAUUAGCUAGUUGGCGGGGUAACGGCCCACCAAGGCAACGAUCAGUAGCUGGUCUGAGAGGAUGAUCAGCCACACUGGAACUGAGACACGGUCCAGACUCCUACGGGAGGCAGCAGUAAGGAAUAUUGCUCAAUGGGAGAAAUCCUGAGGCAGCAACGCCGCGUGAGGGACGAAGGGCUUGUGCUUGCAAACCUCUGUAGUGAGAGAAAAAAAUCCCAAUCUUUGGGACAUGAUGGUAUCUCAAAAGUAAGCCCCGGCUAACUACGU
This 480-nucleotide ribosomal RNA is filed under the name uncultured bacterium. RNAcentral describes it as "partial 16S ribosomal RNA". It matches the Rfam family "Bacterial small subunit ribosomal RNA", at positions 28 to 506 of the family's 1533-position model. The record is from RNAcentral.